AUGGCGUUUCCAGAUGAUGAAAAGAUGAAGGGCUGUCGUCCAAAGAUUUUUGGGGCGAAAGAUAAGAAAGCCGCAAAGAAGACAGACCGUCCAAGCUCCUCCGCUGUUAAGUCUGCACCAAGCUCCUCCAAGGCACAAUCUUCUUCCCCAUUCAGACCACUUUCAGCAGAAGUUAGGAGCAUGCGUGAGGUUAGGAGCAUGCGUCUGAGCCAUUUUCUAGCCCGUUCUCCAAGUGUCAUAAAAAUUGAAUCUUUUAGGGUAUUUAUUUCUACAUGGAACGUUGGAGGAAACACACCUACCGCUGAGUUGAAUCUGGACGACUUCAUUCCUGCAGAUGACCACUCAGAUAUUUAUGUUUUAGGUUUUCAGGAAAUUGUCCCUCUCAAUGCUGGCAAUGUGCUUGUGAUCGAAGACAACGAACCAGCUGCAAGAUGGCUUGCUCUUAUAAACCGCACGCUAAACAGAACAAUUGACGGGGAUGCUGAUAUUUUCUGUCACAAGCCAUCUCUAUCCCUUGAUUCAACCUCUUCUCGAUCUUCAUCGAACCUUGAUGCUUCUUUCUCCAACCGCUCUGGUUCUGCAAUCUUCCAGUCCUCCUUAAAAUCUAUCAGGAAGCCUUACAUGCCAACUCAGAGAAAACUGCUCAAGAUCUGCAACUGCUCAGUUGAAAUGCCCAGGAAAUCCUACAAAGAUGCUUGCUUUGGAUGCCCACAAGCAUACAUUAAUGAGACCGACUCUUCGGAAGAAGAUGAAGUUGAUGACAGAUCAAAUAAUGCUUCUGGUUAUGUGGUUGAUGGAGUGAUUUCGUCCGCUUCUGCCUCUAGUGAUCAGCUAAAAUAUAACCUCGUAUCUUGCAAACGAAUGGUUGGUAUUUUUGUCACAGUAUGGGCAAAGAAAGAACUAGUGCCGCAUAUCGGUCAUGUGAGGACAUCAUGUGUAGGCCGUGGAGUAAUGGGUUAUCUUGGAAACAAGGGAUGUAUAUCAGUGAGCAUGACACUGCACCAGACAAGCUUUUGUUUCAUCUGUAGCCAUUUGGCUUCAGGUGAGAAAGAAGGCGAUGAGUUGCGGCGCAACUCAGAUGUUUUAGAGAUACUGAGGGCCACGCAGUUUCCAAGAAUUUGCAGAAGAGCUGGGCAAAGAAUCCCUGAAAAAAUUAUUGACCAUGACCGGGUGAUAUGGUUGGGGGAUCUGAACUACCGUAUUUCCCUGAGCUAUGAAGAUACCAAGAAACUUCUGACUGAAAAUAACUGGGAUGCCCUUUUUCAAAAGGAUCAACUUAACACUGAGCGCAAUUCUGGAAGGGUAUUCAGGGGUUGGAGCGAAGAGAAGAUAUAUUUUGCUCCCACAUACAAGUACACUUUUAACUCAGAUUCUUAUUCUGGAGAAACUGCAACCUCAAAGAAAAAGAGGAGAACCCCAGCCUGGUGUGAUAGAAUACUAUGGCAUGGAGAUGGGAUUGCGCAGUCAUCCUACUUCCGUGGGGAGUCUAAAUUUUCUGACCAUCGUCCUGUCUGUGGAUCAUUCACUGUGGAAGUGUAUUUGCUGGACGGCAAAUCAAAGAGGCGCACAUCUAACACUAAUAUUAGAAUUGGUGCUGAAGAGCUCUUACCGACGAGUAAGAAUAAGGUUACCAAAGGUGCUGGGACCAAAACCACAAAAUAA
Molecule: ribosomal RNA, 1662 nt
Filed under: Triticum aestivum (bread wheat)
Lineage: Eukaryota; Viridiplantae; Streptophyta; Magnoliopsida; Poales; Poaceae
Description: partial small subunit ribosomal RNA
Source: RNAcentral